Molecule: ribosomal RNA, 418 nt
Filed under: Klebsiella pneumoniae
Lineage: Bacteria; Pseudomonadati; Pseudomonadota; Gammaproteobacteria; Enterobacterales; Enterobacteriaceae
Description: bacterial SSU rRNA
Rfam family: Bacterial small subunit ribosomal RNA
Source: RNAcentral
AAAUUGAAGAGUUUGAUCAUGGCUCAGAUUGAACGCUGGCGGCAGGCCUAACACAUGCAAGUCGAGCGGUAGCACAGAGAGCUUGCUCUCGGGUGACGAGCGGCGGACGGGUGAGUAAUGUCUGGGAAACUGCCUGAUGGAGGGGGAUAACUACUGGAAACGGUAGCUAAUACCGCAUAACGUCGCAAGACCAAAGUGGGGGACCUUCGGGCCUCAUGCCAUCAGAUGUGCCCAGAUGGGAUUAGCUAGUAGGUGGGGUAACGGCUCACCUAGGCGACGAUCCCUAGCUGGUCUGAGAGGAUGACCAGCCACACUGGAACUGAGACACGGUCCAGACUCCUACGGGAGGCAGCAGUGGGGAAUAUUGCACAAUGGGCGCAAGCCUGAUGCAGCCAUGCCGCGUGUGUGAAGAAGGCCU